UUUCCGUAGGUGAACCUGCGGAAGGAUCAUUAUCGUACAAAAUGUGAGGGGCAUGCAAGGGCUGUCGCUGACUCAAAAGUCGUGCACGCCCGAGUGUGUCCUCUUGCAUAAUAAUCCAUCGCACCCUUUGUGCAUCACCGCGUGGGCACCCUUCGGGAUCAUCUCGGAGGGGGGCUCGCGUUUUCACACAAACCCCCCUUUUUAAAAUAUAGAAUGACAACAUUCUUUCAAUCAAUACAACUUUCAACAACGGAUCUCUUGGCUCGCGCAUCCAUCAAA
RNAcentral lists this unclassified non-coding RNA (279 nucleotides) under plant metagenome. Its description in RNAcentral is "partial contains small subunit ribosomal RNA, internal transcribed spacer 1, and 5.8S ribosomal RNA". The record is from RNAcentral.